RNAcentral lists this ribosomal RNA (390 nucleotides) under uncultured bacterium. RNAcentral describes it as "bacterial SSU rRNA". It matches the Rfam family "Bacterial small subunit ribosomal RNA", at positions 28 to 417 of the family's 1533-position model. The record is from RNAcentral.
GACGAACGCUGGCGGCGUGCUUAACACAUGCAAGUCGAGCGGUAAGGCCCUUUCGGGGGUACACGAGCGGCGAACGGGUGAGUAACACGUGGGUGACCUGCCCUCAGCUCUGGGAUAAGCCUGGGAAACCGGGUCUAAUACUGGAUAUGACUCCAUGACGCAUGUUGUGGGGUGGAAAGCCUUGUGCGGCUGAGGAUGGGCCCGCGGCCUAUCAGCUUGUUGGUGGGGUGANGGCCUACCAAGGCGACGACGGGUAGCCGGCCUGAGAGGGCGACCGGCCACACUGGGACUGAGACACGGCCCAGACUCCUACGGGAGGCAGCAGUGGGGAAUCUUGCGCAAGUGGGACGAAAGCCUGACGCAGCGACGCCGCGUGAGGGAUGACGGCCU